RNAcentral lists this ribosomal RNA (406 nucleotides) under uncultured bacterium. Its description in RNAcentral is "partial 16S ribosomal RNA". It matches the Rfam family "Bacterial small subunit ribosomal RNA", at positions 29 to 526 of the family's 1533-position model. The record is from RNAcentral.
AUUGAACGCUGGCGGCAGGCUUAACACAUGCAAGUCGAGCGAGCGGCGGACGGGUGAGUAAUGUCUGGGAAACUGCCUGAUGGAGGGGGAUAACUACUGGAAACGGUAGCUAAUACCGCAUACCAUCAGAUGUGCCCAGAUGGGAUUAGCUAGUAGGUGGGGUAAUGGCUCACCUAGGCGACGAUCCCUAGCUGGUCUGAGAGGAUGACGAGCCACACGGGAACGGAGACACGUUCCAGCCCCCUACGGGAGGCAGCGGUGGGGAAUUUUGCACAAUGGGGGCAAGCCUGAUGCGGCCAUCCCGCGUGGAGGAAGAAGGCCUUCGGUUUGGAAAGCACUUUCAGCGGGGAGGCGUUACUCGCAGAAGAAGCACCGGCUAACUCCGUGCCAGCAGCCGCGGUAAUAC